Molecule: ribosomal RNA, 199 nt
Filed under: uncultured Funneliformis
Lineage: Eukaryota; Fungi; Glomeromycota; Glomeromycetes; Glomerales; Glomeraceae
Description: partial 18S ribosomal RNA
Rfam family: Eukaryotic small subunit ribosomal RNA
Source: RNAcentral
AGCAGCCGCGGUAAUUCCAGCUCCAAUAGCGUAUAUUAAAGUUGUUGCAGUUAAAAAGCUCGUAGUUGGAUUUUGGGAUCAGAGAGGCCUGGUCUGCCGGAACGGUGUGUACUGGCCUCUCUAUCCUUCCUUCCGGUUUGCUGGCUUCUGCCAUUAAGUUGGUGGGGGCUCAGCUCCGGAUCUUUUACUUUGAAAAAAU